AUUGAACGCUGGCGGCAUGCCUUACACAUGCAAGUCGAACGGUAACAGGUCUUUCGGGAUGCUGACGAGUGGCGAACGGGUGAGUAAUACAUCGGAACGUGCCUAGUAGUGGGGGAUAACUACUCGAAAGAGUGGCUAAUACCGCAUGAGAUCUAUGGAUGAAAGCAGGGGACCUUUGGGCCUUGUGCUACUAGAGCGGCCGAUGGCAGAUUAGGUAGUUAGUGGGAUAAAAGCUUACCAAGCCUACGAUCUGUAGCUGGUCUGAGAGGACGAUCAGCCACACUGGGACUGAGACACGGCCCAGACUCCUACGGGAGGCAGCAGUGGGGAAUUUUGGACAAUGGGCGCAAGCCUGAUCCAGCAAUGCCGCGUGCAGGAUGAAGGCCUUCGGGUUGUAAACUGCUUUUGUACGGAACGAAAAGUCUUGGGUUAAUACCCUGGGAUCAUGACGGUACCGUAAGAAUAAGCACCGGCUAACUACGUG
This 484-nucleotide ribosomal RNA is filed under the name uncultured bacterium. Its description in RNAcentral is "partial 16S ribosomal RNA". It matches the Rfam family "Bacterial small subunit ribosomal RNA", at positions 30 to 507 of the family's 1533-position model. The record is from RNAcentral.